Molecule: long non-coding RNA, 9873 nt
Organism: Diospyros lotus (date-plum)
Lineage: Eukaryota; Viridiplantae; Streptophyta; Magnoliopsida; Ericales; Ebenaceae
Exons: 2
Source: RefSeq, a predicted model, not a curated record
CAAAAAAACACAAAGAGUGGGUGUGGGUGUGGGUGUGGGUGUGGGUGUGGGUGUUGUUAGAAGGCUAAAUUAAUAAAUUCAGCUCAUGCCCUGGCGUGAGUUCUAUCUCAUUAAUAAUCUAUAUGCAUGCACAAAUUCUAUCUUGUUCUUGUUCCAUGUAUCACAACAGUACAUAUUUCAGGUGAGAUGUUAACACCAAGGUUAAAAUUGACAGCAAAGCAAAGGUUAAAAUUGAGAUGUUUUCAAUGCCUAUCUAUGCCGCACUGCUGCAACUAAGGCACACUGCUGCAACUAAAGCAUCAAAUUUCCUGCCACCAUGAACAUGACUGGCUGCCUAUAUGUAUAAAGAUGGCCGGUCACCUUAAUCCCCUUUAAACACCAAAGCAACCUACUCUGCUUGAAUAUUAUGGAUGUCCCCAUUGCCAUUGCCCAGGCCUCUCUCUGCUUUGCAAAAGUUGGUGGAGAGAGUCAUUUAGCAUACACAGCCUUUGGAAAAGGGGAAAGGAGAAGAAGAGAACAGACAGAAGAAGAAUGAAGCAGAGAAGAAGAAGAGAGACAGAACGAGCUCAAAGCUAAUCCAAAAUUUAAUUUUUCAAUCCAUUAACACAACCAUAUUUCCUAAUACAUCAAGAAGACCAUGUGGUCGACGGAGGGUUGUAAACAUAUAAAAAAUUGUAAUUAUCCUAAUGAGGACCAUGUGCAUAGAUGAAAGGACAGCAAGGAUUCAUGUAGAAAUCCAAUGUGGGGUUAAGGCUUGUGAUGAUGAUUAUGAACUAUCCUAAUGAAAUAAGAUUUAAAAAUCCUAAUAAUGAAUAUCCAAAACAAAAAAAACCAUUAUUUGAUGAAAGUGAAACAAAGGGGAAACCAAAACAAUUCUAUUUAUUACUUAUUCAAUGAAAACCGCCCCUUGACAAUGUUAGUUAAAUGGCUUUAUAAAGAUAAUUCCUUCUGGCAUUAUAUUAUAAAUUAUUCUAUGAAUUUACAUUUGUCAUAUUUUCAGAAAUUAACACCAGUGCCAAGGUAUAGAGCGUAUACUCACCUUAGUGGCAAUAAGCCCAAUAGUUGAAGAAAGCCCACACCAGUUGAGCAAUACUUUCCCUGUUAUGUAAUCCAAAACCAGAAAGUUUUUCAACUUGAUCAAAGUAUGCACAUUCAAUAUUUUCAAGAGUAACAGCAUACGUUCUCUCCAUUCCCUGUCAAACCAACUGUGCAUAAACUAGGAAAAGUAAUCUACAUAAGGAGGUCUUAAGGAACAGAAAGGAAAGGGUAUGGCAAAUAUAUACACACACAAACAUAUCCCAGUUAGAAGGAAUAUUAAAUAACUGCCUGCAGGGCCACAAAUGUGGUUCUGUUGCAUGAUCGGGAAGUUGUAAGCAAAAAAGCAAAAUAUUAUACAUAAACCUGACUUUACCAACAUAAGAAAAAGUUUAUAUAUCCCACACUCUAAAGAUUGUAUCAGUUUAAGAUCUCCUCACGUACUUGCAUGAAGAAUUUAACACCAGUAGUUUUGCAUGAAAAAUAGGACAUUAAAGAGUUGAUUUGGGCCCCUAAAAGAAAUUCAAUAUGCUAAAGCAAUAUAGGGGAAACAACUUGGUGGAGAUCAUAAAGAGUGAUGGAAGAUUUUAAGGGCUGUCAAUCAAGCUAUCUUUUUUGAAUUAUUUCCUAAUACAUAAUUAGAAGGUUAGGUGUACAGAUUUGGUAGGUUCUGUAAAUCAAUUAGAGAUUGUCUCCAUUAGAGGAAAUUCCUAAAUUGAGAGUUUCCUAUGAUAGAUUAGCUAAGUUUCUAUAUAUAUAAAAUUCUGGACAGAAUGAAUAAAGUCAUCAAGCCUUCUCCCUAAUUUCUAACAUAGUAUCAGAGCUUUAGGGAACUCUCUGUGGGCGGCCUUCAUUGCCAUUUAUCCUCCUAAUCUCCAGCCUUUCAUUUUUGUUCAGUUUUCCAGCCUUAUCACCCCCAGCACUAGUUGCCCUAAAUUUUUUAGCAGCCCAGAAGGACGUCAACAACCUCUGCCAAAGUUCUCUCUCACUGCAUCGGAGGAGUACCGACAAACCCAGUCUCCGAUGAACUGCAGCAAAUCAGUGCUGCAUACUGGCUCACUGGGAAGAACCAUCUAAAAUGGUCACAGCUGAUCAAAACCAUUUUAAAGGGCAAAGGCAAACUCAACCAUAUAAUUGGAACUGGUCCCGAGGAAGGAGAUCCCAGUUUUAUCUCAUGGGAUGAGCAGGAUUCGAUGAUUAUGGCUUGGCUCUGGAGUUCUAUGCCACCAGAAAUAAGUGACACGUGUAUGUUCCUACCGACUGCAAGGGAGGUCUGGGAGUCCAUCCGACAAACUUAUUCCAAAAGUCAAGGAUGCAGCCCAAGUCUAUGAGUUGCGGAUCAAAACUAUGUCAACAAAGCAAGGAGAAAAGACUCGCUGAAUAUGUAAACUUGCUGAAGGGGCUGUGGCAGGAAAUGGAUCAAUAUCGGGCGAUAAAGAUGAAGGAUAGUAAGGAUGCUGCAUUGCUGACGGCAUUCAUCGAAAAGGAUUGCACAUAUAAUUUUUUAGCAGGACUGAAUGCAGAUUUUGAUCUUAAGAAAGUAGAAGAGAAGUGAUGUUGGAGACGAAAUCACUGGAGACAUCGACAAUGCUGACAAAAACUACAGCCUGAGGACCAAGAGAAAACUGGAAGGCUGAAUCCAAAACAGCAAGUGGGGAAGAUGGGGACACUAUGGUGUACCUAUUGUAACAAAUCGAGGCAUACCCUGAAGAAAUGCUGGAAAUUGAAUGCAAAACCACCCAGUAAAGAGUGGGGAACCAAAGGAGGACAGAAUAAGCCUUACAAAGGGCAAGCAUACCAGGUGAUCGCACAGCAAGAAGCGGAGAAAGGUCUGGACUCAAAACAAAUCUCAAUAAAGAGGAGGUUGAGAAGUUGAGGAAUUUUUUGGCAGCCCUUAAGAAACCAUCAGGUACUUGUUCAUUGGUACAUUCAGGUAUAUCUCCCACCUCUCACUCUGUUUAACUGCCUCAGAAAAAGUGUUUAGACAUUCAUGGAUUAUUAACUCCAGAACCACAUAUCAUGACCCAUGCCUCUUAUAAUUUCAACACUUAUACUCCUUGUCUUAGUAAUUAGGAAAAUAGCUACUACAAAUGGCUCUCUGACCACUGUAGCUAGAAUAGGAGAUAUAAGACUCGGUCCAAAUCUCACCCUUAAAAAUGUCCUUCAUGUUCCUAAACUGUCUACAAACUUGGUAUCUAUCACCAAGAUUUCUCAAGACCUGAAUUGCAAAGUUACACUUUUUUUUUUCCCCAACAAACUGAUUAUUUCAGGAUCAGGCCUCGAGAAUGAUGAUUGGAUGUGUUGAGGAAAGGGAAGGAUUGUACUAUUUUGGCGUGCUUGAGACACCGGACAUCAGCAAAAUAAACCAACAGAUUCAUACCAAUAAGGAAUUAAAAAUGCACAUUGGGAGUUUUCAGAAUUUUUUGUUGAGAAGAUAAUUGUUGGGAUAACUCCUCAAAUUAUGUUUUGAUAAAUAUAAAGUCUAUAAUGCAAGCUCUAAUUUUGAGUAGGAGAGCUAUUCGAGGCCUAGUCUAAUUAGAAUUGUAGCCUAUAGAUAAAUAUCCCUGGUUCAAUUAUUAAUUAGAUCAUCCCUCUAGAAUAUUUGUGUUUUCAAAAUUUUACUAACUAGUUAUCGAGAGGAUGUGUUCCAGGUGUUUCACAGACAAUUACCUAGAUUUGUUGGGAUUAUGAUGGAUAUUUCAAUUUGCCAUAAACCAGGGCUAUUCUACAAUUUUUAGUUAUCUCAAACCAAAAACUACUUUAUGGAUCUUGUAGCUUUCCUUUCCAAAACUAUGUUUAAUGGAUUAUCGCAUUAAUGUUGAAUCAUGGAUGUAGGCAAUUGCCCAACCACAUUAAAAAUUCAGUGUUCCUAUUUUUCUCUUGAUUUCUAUGUUUGAUUGUGCUCGAUCCAGAUUCCUAAUAGGUUUCGUCACAGUGCACAUUCUUCAGGAUACUCUAGGUGAAGCAAGAGCUUCAAGGUGCUAACAGAAAGAAAACACGAGAAAAGAGAGAAGAGGGAAACGUUUUUGCUGAAAGAACUUUACUGAAUGAUCAGAAUUACAGAAAUGCAAGUCUUAAUAUCAAACUUUGCAACUUGCAACAACAAGUUAUAACUGUCUAACCAACCAACAACUAAUAUAACAGCACAACAGACAACUAAUAUAAUACCAUAACAGCUUACAACAAACACAACCGUGACACAACAUAAAGAGAAAUACACAAAACAAAAUUAAUCAACAUUAUUUCCUUCUACACUAGGAAAACAUAGAGAUGAAAUACCUAAUAACUUGUACUCUGUGAACCCUUUUUGGUUCAUGCUUCUAAUUGAAAGUUGGAAUAACAUAAAGUUGUUUAAUUGUUAGAUAUAAUAUGGUUUUGCAACGGGUAACUGCCAGACUAGUCAACAUAACAUUAUUGAAUGAGAUAAUCAACUUGGUUUCAUGCCCGAUAAUGGAAACACUUAACAACAUACAGUUAUUUUAUGGAGAAAUUCAGCAUUUAGGAAACUAAAAUGCAAUAAUACCACCAAACCUACGCAAUCGAGGAAGCUAGAGAUGCUGUAGCCUAUCUCUUGUGAGAAAUUUCACAAAGAAUGCUCCCAAAUAGCGAACAGUGAUGGAAAUGGUUGGGAGGGACAACCACCAAAGCCAGCACUGAAAAUAAAUAGUAAAAAACAAGAUGAGAAUGUUAAAUUUGGAUUGCAUAAAAAAAAGUUCACCGUUUCAUCAUAAAUGAUUUAAAAAUUACAUGUGUAAUCCAUGAUGUAGAAAACAUGAAACCAAUGCCAAUAAACAUGGAAGAAACAUUCCUUGAAGCCUCGGAAAUAUGCAUUGUCGCUCAGUUGAAAGCUAUGAAACAAGUCUGCCCUUGCUCAAUUUGGGUCGAACUCGGGCAUUACUCAAUAGAGGUGCAAGGCUUAUAGAAGUACCAAAUAAGGUUUGUGGAUAAACACAAUCAAGAGGCAUUCUAAGCAUGAAAAGGUUUCAGCUAACUGAAAUAUGGGAAAUCAAGAGUACAGGUGGGAGACAAAUGGGGAAGAGAUUGUUAAAUGUGUGUGGAUAGAUUGUUAAACGUGCAAGAAAGACUUGAUCUAACCUGGUGGAUGGCGUGAAUCAACACGUUCUUCCUCUACCGAGCACAACCCUUUCCCUAGUAGAAGAAAAUAACCACGCCUAAUGCAUUAGGGAAGUUGAGCUGCAAAAAAAAAAAAACGAAAAAAGAAACGGGUCACAAUUUCUUAGGAUGAGAUCAUAAUCAAGUACAAAUGGCUUGAAAUUAAAGGGCAAUUGUAAUUGCGUAAACAGAACCCAAUCAUAAAGCCAGACGUUAGGCACCAAGAAAACCCAAACGGUUUUUCCAUCAAAGAAUCAUUUGAUCCACCCUCGACAAAUAAGUACGAUGCACCAAAAUGCAAUGAAAAUAUUUUACGUGGAUAACGCUAAAAAGAAAAAUAGUUGUAGAAGAUUUUGUCAAGAAAUACCAUACCUGGGUCACUGAGAAAGUAAGAACGAAGAGCUACUUCUCUGUGUAGGAUACGAGCUCUCCUAUUUCCCAAGCAUUCAGUCCUGAGAACCUGCCCAUUGAGGUAAAAAGCUAUCACGACCCAAUUAGUUUAAAAAGGAACGACUAUUUUAACAUCAUAAUUGAAAUAGCAAGACAUAAAAAAAAAUAAAAACGGAAAGGAAUAAAAAGGGGGUAAAAGGUAAAAGAUCACUACAGUGAUAACUAAAAGCGUUGAACAUGCAUGUAGACAUCCAAAGAACAAUACAACUACUUCCUGCAGUCGAAAACAUCAUAAAAAUAUGGUCAAAUAAAUUAUUUUAUACUGAACUUAGGGUCUUUUUUCACUAUUAUCCAGUUUUGACAUUUGUUUCAAUUUUAUCAUCAAACUUUAACUUUUGUUUUAAUUUUCUCCUAAAGCGGACUAGCACGUGGCCCUGCAGACGCGACGUAUUGUUGUGUCAAAUAAUGGACACAAUAGGCAAACAAUCUCAUGGUUGACUUUGAUCCAAAUCCGACCCAGCGGGGUCGACCGAACAUGUAAUGGGUCAAAACCCAUCUUCUUUCCCAAAUCACCAAGUGUUUCGCCUUCCACCUUACGCUGUCGCCGCCCCCGUCGUUGCCAUUUUUGCCUUUUCCCUACCCCUAGCCGACUCCUUCUUUCUCACUCUUCAUCGCGGGUGGCUUGCUUCCAUUAAUGGCGACCACAUAGGCAGCCGAUUGGGAAAAGAAGAGAGAGGGGAGAAGAUCGCAGGUCAAGUGGAAAAAAUGACCAUGGCGAGAUCGAUGUUGAGAAGAAGACAAGGGCCAUGGGUAUAUUGCCGUCAAUCGAGUGGGCGUUGCUUCUGCCAUCGUCGACGAUGUUCUCCAAAAUCGAGGUUCACCGUGGCUGUCCUGACUGACGGUUCGACUCCCCUUUUUGUCGAUGGCUCGCCGACGUGGGUGAUCAUUUUGGUCGACCAAUUUAUGCGAGUCUUCUCAGCCACGGGUCGAAUCUCGGCAUUGCAAUGGCCAUCGACGCCAUGGCCGAGGACCUCUGGUCACUCCCAUGGCCGAACAGCUUUGUCCUCAACAUGGCUCGCGUGGCGUGACCACAAGGUUGAGGCCUCGGGUUACCGGCGAUGAGAGAACAAAAAGAGGACCGAUGAUGAAGGAAGGCGGCGGCAACUGUUUAGGAUGUAAAACCUAGUGGCCUGAGAGUUGAAGAUGAUGGAUUUCUUUUGCUGAUGUGUUCGACAAAGGACACAUCAGCACGCCACCUAAGCACCACGUAUGUUGGGGGCUCUUGCCUAUCCGCUUAGAGAUAAAAUUGAAAUCAAAGUUUAAAUUUGAAGACCAAAUUGAACUAAAUGUCAAAACCGGAUAAAAUUCAAAAAUGACCCUAAGCUCCCGAUAAAAUAGUCUAUCCGGCCCAAAAAUAUAUUGUUCUAAAAUGGGGGAAGAAAGGGAGAGUAAUGCAUAAUGGAACUCACAACCUGUUAAAGAAUAAGCUUUAGUGUCUCAUCAACUUUCUCAUAAGAGCGUGAAAUCUAGUACUUCACCUGAGCAAAACAUCUUACAGUCAGUAUAGCGCCAAAAAUUCCGUACAUAAAAAUUGUGCACUUGAUAAAAAAAUCAAUGACGGUAAGUAAUGAUGAAACAUAAGUACUCCAUCAACAGUUCAAUAAUAUUAAAAUGCUCAAAUACGUAAAAGAAGAUUAACAAAAAUGAAGUGGUUUUACAACUAUUGAAACCUUAGCAGUUCAGCAUCAUCUACUUGCACAAUCGAGUUCCAUCACUGGUUUGCAGCAAUCAUAUUUCCUAAUCCGCUUAUGCAUUUACUUUUUCAUAUUUUCAGCAAUCAUAUUUUCGGAUAGCAUACUGUGUGUGGAUAGAUUGUUAAACGUGCAAGAAGGACAUGAUUUAACCUGGUGGAUGGCGUGAAUCAACACGUUCUUCCUCUACCGAGCACAACCCUUUCCCUAGUAGAAGAAAAUAACCACGCUUGAAGCGUUAGGGAAGCUGAGCUGCAAAAAAAAAGAAAACGAAAAAAGAAACGGGUCACAAUUUCUUAGGAUGAGAUCAUAAUCAAGUACAAAUGGCUUGAAAUUAAAGGGCAAUUGUAAUUGCGUAAACAGAACCCAAUCAUAAAGCCAAACGUUAGGCACCAAAAAAACCCAAACGGUUUUUCCAUCAAAGAAUCAUUUGAUCCACCCUCGACAAAUAAGUACAAUGCACCAAAAUGCAGUGAAAAUAUUUUACGUGGAUAACGCUAAAAAGAAAAAUAGUUGUAGAAGAUUUUUUCAAGAAAUACCAUACCUGGGUCACUGAGAAAGUAAGAACGAAGAGCUACUUCUCUAUGUAGGAUACGAGCUCUCCUAUUUCCCAAGCAUUCAGUCCUGAGAACCUGCCCAUUGAGAUAAAAAGCUAUCACGACCCAAUUAGUUUAAAAUGGAACAACUAUUUUAACAUCAUAAUUGAAAUAGCAAGACAUAAAAAAAAAUAAAAAAGGAAAGGAAUAAAAAGGGGGUAAAAGGUAAAAGAUCACUAAAGUGAUAACUAAAAGCGUUGAACCUUUAUGUGGACCUCCAAUGAACAAUCCAACUACUCCCAGCAGUCGAACACAUCAUAAAAAUAUGGUCAAAUAAACUAUUUUGUACUGAACUUAGGGUCUUUUUUCACUAUUAUUCAAUUUUGACAUUUGUUUCAAUUUUAUCAUCGAACUUUAACUUUUGUUUUAAUUUUCUCCUAAAGCGGACUGGCGUGUGGCCCAGCAGACGCGGCGAGUUGUGUUAAAUAAUGGACACAAUAGGCAAACAAUCCCAUGGUUGACUUUGAUCCAAAUUCGACCCAGUGGGUAGACCCAACAUGUAAUGGGUCAAAACCUAUCUUCUUCCCCAAAUCACCAAGUGUUUCGCCUUCCACCUUGCGGUGACGCCGCCCUCGUCGUUGCCGUUUUUGCCUUUUCCCUACCCCUAGCCGCCUCUUUCUUUCUCACUCUUCGUCAUAAGUGGCUUGCUUCCAUUAAUGGCGACCACAUAGGCAACCGAUUGGGAAAAGAAGAGAGAGGGGAGAAGAUCGCAGGUCAAGGCGAAAAAAUGACCAUGGCGAAAUCGAUGUUGAGAAGAAGACAAGGGCCAUGGGUCUAUUGCCGUCGAUCGAGUGGGCCUUGCUUCCGCCAUCGUCGACAAUGUUCUCCAAAAUCGAGGUUCACCGUGACUGCCCUGACUGACGGUUCGUCUCCCCUUUUGGUCGAUGGCUCGCCGACGUGGGUUAUCAUUUUGGUCGACCGAUUGACGCGAGUCUUCUCAGUCACGAGUCGAAUCUCGGCAUUGCAAUGGCCAUCGACGCCAUGGCCAAGGACCUCUGGUCACUCCCAUGGCCGAACAGCUUCGUGCUCGACAUGGCUCCCGUGGCAUGACCACAGGGUUGAGGCCUCGGGUUACCGGCGAUGAGAGAACAAAAAGGCGACCGACGAUGAAGGAAGGCGGCGACAACUGUUUAGGAUGUAAAACCUAGUGGCCUGAGGGUUGAAGAUGAUGGAUUUCUUUUGCUGAUGUGUUCGACAAAUGACACAUCAGCACGCCACCUAAGCAACACGUAUGUUGGGGCUCUCGCCUGUCUGCUUAGGGAUAAAAUUGAAAUCAAAGUUUAAAUUUGAUGACCAAAUUGAACUAAGUGUCAAAACUGGAUAAAAUUCAAAACUGACCCUAAGCUCGGGAUAAAAGAGUCUAUUCGGCCUAAAAAUAUAUUGCUCUAAAAAGGGGGAAGAGAGGGAAAGUAAUGCAUAAUAGAACUCACAACCUUUUUAAGAAUAAGCUUUAGCGUCUCAUCAACUUUCUCAUAAGAGCGUGAAAUCUCGUACUUCACCUGAGCAAAACAUCUUACAGUCAGUAUAGCGCCAAAAAUUCCGUACAUAAAAAUUGUGCACUUGAUAAAAAAAUCAAUGACGGUAAGUAAUGAUGAAACAUAAGUACUCCAUCAACAAUUCAAUAAUAUUGAAAUGCUCAAAUACGUAAAAAAGGAUUAACAAAAAUGAAGUGGUUUUACAACUAUUCAAACCUUAGCAGUUGAGCAUCAUUUACCUGCACAAUCGAGUUCCAUCACUGGUUUGCACCAAUCAUAUUUCCUAUUCCGCCUAUGCAUUCACUUUUUCAUAUUUUCAGCAAUCAUAUUUCUAGAUAGCAUACUGUGUGUGGAUAGAUUGUUAAACGUGCAAGAAAGACUUGAUCUAACCUGGUUGAUGACGUGAAUCAACACGUUCUUCCUCUACUGAGCACAACCCUUUCCCUAGUAGACCACGCCUAAAGCGUUAGGGAAGCUGAGCUGCAAAAAAAAAAAAAGUGAUAAAAAAUCGCG